AAUUUUCAACUCAAUCUUAUCAUCCUAGGUUUUAAGAGGUGAAGUCUCAAUAACCAAACCUUAUGAUUCUUCAAACUGCACUUCUUGCUUUUCAUAAUAAAAUUUUUUGCAUUUUAUCCUUACGGGUUCUAAUUACAUCUUCAAAAACUCUUGAUAUUGCUUCCAGUCUAUCCUAAGUUUUUGGUGACCAAUGCCCUUCCGGUGAUGGGCAAGCAUUUGGGUCAAUGGUAUGUAGGGCUGUAAACUGCUAGCGAGCUAUUCAAGGCUUGGCUUAGUUUGUUUUCUAAAUGAGGCGAGCUCGAGCCUAAUUUUUAGACUCAUUUAAUAAACAAGUCAAGUUUGAGCUUAUUGAUAUUUGGCUUGUUGAGGCUAGCGAUUGGCUUGUUUAACUAAAAUUAUUUAGUUUUAAAUUUAUUAUCUUAAACCAAAUAAAAAUUAUAUAGUUUUGAACUUCAUAAUCAUAAACCUAAAAUUCACUAGAGUUGUAAAUGAGUUAAGCUGCCUGUGAGUUGUUUGAGGCUUGACUCGAUAAAAACUCAACUUAGUUCGGCUCGUUUUCUAAAUGAGCUAAGCUUGAGCAUGAAAAAUUUUGUCUAGCCAAGCUUGAGCUCUUCAAAGU
RNAcentral lists this unclassified non-coding RNA (619 nucleotides) under Hevea brasiliensis (rubber tree). Lineage: Eukaryota; Viridiplantae; Streptophyta; Magnoliopsida; Malpighiales; Euphorbiaceae. The record is from RNAcentral.